AAACCGGAGCCUAGCCCAAUUUCAUUAACCAGCUCAUUUGAGCUGCGAACUGGCCCGUAAAAACAGAUGCAGAGCAAGGCAAGCUCCCUCUUCCGCAAUCUACCACUCCGGCCAAUCCUUGACUGAAAUCAACCGCGUUGAGGUGAAAAAGGAAUCCUGAAUCGUUUCAGUGGGUGGGAAAAUAAUUUUGGGCCAUUUAUAUUUCCACUACUGGAGGGAAAACCAGAAAACCCUUUCUCAAAUUGGGAUACUUGUGCUGAAGUGGGCUCAAUUGACUAAUGAAAGAAAUGUACAACAAUUUUGUAAGAAAGAUCACUAGUGAAACAGUUUGGAGAGGCGGCUCUGGCGUCUGUAACUAUAUAUACAGAUAAAGAAUGAGGAUGAUCAAACUGCUACAUUUUUUAAAGUCGAAGCAUCUCGUGACAUUAAAUUCAAUUUGAUGGAUACCAAUUUAGACAAGAGAGCAUGUGGGAUGCAUUGCAGCUGUUUGGAAAUCUGAUGGUCCUCUAGUAGAUUCUCUGCAGGAUGCAACGUCUCUGGACUCAGUAAGAAAUUUCAAGAAUCUCAUUUGCUGGAUCUGUGUGUGGAGGUAGCUUUCAAAAAAACAGCAUUGUCUAGUUUAUAUCUGUAAGGUGACACAUAAUACAAGUAUACAUUGCAAAUCAAUCACUUGUAGUUCAUAGGAGAUUAAUAUGCAUACUACCAAAGGUUCAGCUUGUGCAAUUUUGAUGCAAAGGUGACAGUUUUCCUUUGGAAAGGCUAAAGUGAGUUAGGAAAGUGAAUAGAAAUUCUGGAGAACUCUCUAUCAUUUAUUGUUUGUGUAGAAUAUUUUAGUAUGUUGCUCUUUCUUCACACAUUUAUUAUUUAAGGAUGUUAGGACUCAAAAUUCUAGUUUGAUUCGGAAAAUAUAUUUUUCUGGUUUGAGUGAGAGAAAUAUUUCUUAAUUGGAUAGAGAAUUAUUUGGUAUAUAGUUUAGAACUCUUAUUAUAGCUUUAUUCCCUAUUUGAGUUGGAUAACUAUUGAGAUUAGGAUUGAGGAAACUAAUACUAUAAACUGAAGUAUUGCACGACAUCUAAUUUGGCUUUGGCUCAUGUGUGGAGAAAGGAUAUAGGGUUCAAGAGAAAUGUACUUUUAUCUAUUAUUGAGGAGGCUACUGCCUGUGUAGUGAAGACACUUUGUUGUGCAUUAUGAAAUUAAAGUAGUAAAUAUAUUGGUUAUGUCUAGAAGAAAAUGAAAGGAACAAGUCAAACCAUUAAGUUUUAGUUCAGUGGUAAUAGAGUAGUCUCUAGAAUUGUGAGAUUUCGAGUUCAAGUCCCAAUUGAAGGCACUUGUACAAAAAAAUGGAUAAAUUAAUAUAUUUAUUAUAAGUAGUUAUUUGAUUGAGAGGAGUCUCUUGGGUGUAAUGGAAUUUAUGGAAAGUGAGUAAAGUUUAAAAUUUAAUGAUGUAAUGUAUGUUUUUUUAUUGAUAGUGAAAAAUAGCAUGCCAUGGACAUAACUUUAUGUUGAAAGUUUGAAUCACGUAAAUAUUGUUAUUGUAUUUAUUUAUUUAUUUAUUUAUUUUAUUAUGUGCUUUUGAUAGAUUUGGUCUUAACACAUGAGUUGUUGGCAAUAGCUGUGGGGCAAAGCUUGAGACAAGUCUUAUAAUUUGAGUUUCCUAAAGUUAUAGCAUGUCUUGAGAGAUUGUCUAGAGGCCAUACAGCUGUGGAGCCAAGCUUCGCAUGGUAGGUGUUGCUCUUAGUUCUACUCUUGGACUCUUGGUUGCUAAGGUGUUGGUUAGGGAAUAAUGUGUUUUUAUGAUUGAUGGUUCUCCCCAGGAUGGUUCCUUUUAUUUUAUUUUUAUUUUUUAUUUUUUUUUCAAUAUGGCUAUCUGGUAUUGAUGGUGAUGAAAAAAAGGAGCUUGUGUAUCCUCAAAUAAAUAACCAGUGAGUUUAGAUUUUGAAGGGAUCAAAUGUAUCAGGUUGCCAAUUCUUGGCAGAUGAGCUGUGCAUAAUUCCAGUAGGAUGAUGAAGCUAAACGCGGAUUGAUGUGAUGGCCUGUUGUCUAUUGAGGGGUGAAGCUAGGCUGGCCACGGGCUGAUUCAAUCUGAUUCUGGGUCAGAAUUGGCAGUUUCUGUUUGUGGCCUGACUGAAUUUGAAUUAGAACGAGGGGACCAGUUCUCCAUAACUUCGGUUACUGUUAAGCUUUUGGGCUUAGGCCUAAGUCUUCCACGCUAGCUCUUAGUUUCCAAAGUCCACUUUGUUUGGCGGCGCGUACGGGCAAAACGCCAAGCACCACCAGCCAGACUCCAACCUAUCUCACCCAUUAUUCUAUGUGAAUAUGAAAUCAAUUGAACUCAUCUAAAUGUUGUUAGUUAUAGAAUUUAAAAAAAAAAAAAAAGGUAAGAGUACUUAACUUCAUCAACAUAAUCAUUUGCUUUAAUGAGCUUCUAAUAGUAUCUAACAAAGCAUGAUGAUUCUUGCUUAAUAAAUUUAAUUUCUUUC
This is a long non-coding RNA of Hevea brasiliensis (rubber tree), 2480 nucleotides long. RefSeq lists it as uncharacterized. The record is from RefSeq and is a predicted model, not a curated record. NCBI's taxonomy places the organism in Eukaryota, Viridiplantae, Streptophyta, Magnoliopsida, Malpighiales, Euphorbiaceae. The transcript has 3 exons.